Molecule: ribosomal RNA, 497 nt
Filed under: uncultured bacterium
Lineage: Bacteria
Description: partial 16S ribosomal RNA
Rfam family: Bacterial small subunit ribosomal RNA
Source: RNAcentral
GAUGAACGCUGGCGGCGUGCCUAAUACAUGCAAGUCGAGCGAACGGACGAGAAGCUUGCUUCUCUGAUGUUAGCGGCGGACGGGUGAGUAACACGUGGAUAACCUACCUAUAAGACUGGGAUAACUUCGGGAAACCGGAGCUAAUACCGGAUAAUAUUUUGAACCGCAUGGUUCAAAAGUGAAAGACGGUCUUGCUGUCACUUAUAGAUGGAUCCGCGCUGCAUUAGCUAGUUGGUAAGGUAACGGCUUACCAAGGUAACGAUGCAUAGCCGACCUGAGAGGGUGAUCGGCCACACUGGAACUGAGACACGGUCCAGACUCCUACGGGAGGCAGCAGUAGGGAAUCUUCCGCAAUGGGCGAAAGCCUGACGGAGCAACGCCGCGUGAGUGAUGAAGGUCGUCGGAUCGUAAAACUCUGUUAUUAGGGAAGAACAUAUGUGUAAGUAACUGUGCACAUCUUGACGGUACCUAAUCAGAAAGCCACGGCUAACUACGUG